GACGAACGCUGGCGGCGUGCUUAACACAUGCAAGUCGAACGGAAAGGCCCUGCUUUUGUGGGGUGCUCGAGUGGCGAACGGGUGAGUAACACGUGAGUAACCUGCCCUUGACUUUGGGAUAACUUCAGGAAACUGGGGCUAAUACCGGAUAGGAGCUCCUGCUGCAUGGUGGGGGUUGGAAAGUUUCGGCGGUUGGGGAUGGACUCGCGGCUUAUCAGCUUGUUGGUGGGGUAGUGGCUUACCAAGGCUUUGACGGGUAGCCGGCCUGAGAGGGUGACCGGCCAAAUUGGGAAUGAGAUACGGCCCAGACUCCUACGGGAGGCAGCAGUGGGGAAUAUUGCAAAAUGGGCGGAAGCCUGAUGCAGCAACGCCGCGUGCGGGAUGACGGCCUUCGGGUUGUAAACCGCUUUCGCCUGUGACGAAGCGUGAGUGACGGUAAUGGGUAAAGAAGCACCGGCUAACUAAGUG
This 468-nucleotide ribosomal RNA is filed under the name uncultured bacterium. Its description in RNAcentral is "partial 16S ribosomal RNA". It matches the Rfam family "Bacterial small subunit ribosomal RNA", at positions 28 to 507 of the family's 1533-position model. The record is from RNAcentral.